GACGAACGCUGGCGGCGUGCUUAACACGUGCAAGUCGAACGGAAAGGCCCUGCUUGCAGGGUACUCGAGUGGCGAACGGGUGAGUAACACGUGGGUGAUCUGCCCUGCACUUCGGGAUAAGCCUGGGAAACUGGGUCUAAUACCGGAUAUGACCUUCCAUGUAGUGUGGGGGGUGGAAAGAUUUAUCGGUGUGGGAUGAGCCCGCGGCCUAUCAGCUUGUUGGUGGGGUAAUGGCCUACCAAGGCGUCGACGGGUAGCCGGCCUGAGAGGGUGGACGGCCACAUUGGGACUGAGAUACGGCCCAGACUCCUACGGGAGGCAGCAGUGGGGAAUAUUGCACAAUGGGCGGAAGCCUUAUGCAGCGACGCCGCGUGGGGGAUGACGGCCUUCGGGUUGUAAACCUCUUUCGACAGGGACGAAGCUUCGGUGACGGUACCUGUAUAAGAAGCACCGGCUAACUACGUG
This 465-nucleotide ribosomal RNA is filed under the name uncultured bacterium. Its description in RNAcentral is "partial 16S ribosomal RNA". It matches the Rfam family "Bacterial small subunit ribosomal RNA", at positions 28 to 507 of the family's 1533-position model. The record is from RNAcentral.